This 988-nucleotide long non-coding RNA is filed under the name Equus caballus (horse). RNAcentral's name for it is "lncRNA (ENSECAG00000051280.1)". The record is from RNAcentral. Lineage: Eukaryota; Metazoa; Chordata; Mammalia; Perissodactyla; Equidae.
UGCUUUUGUAAAUAUGUUUCAUCUUCAGAAAGAUUCAUGGAAAGGACUCUGGCACUUGCUCUAGAAUACAGGUUUCUGAUAAACUUUCAGAUUAUAAAACUGAACUGGGUAAAAAAUUACAGAACUCUAACAGAGAAACUGAUGGCCUCAUAAAACUGCUAACAGAAGAUCAAGAUCAAGAAUUAAUUAUAUGAGACAAUAAAUUGAUGAGGAUGUUUAUAAUUUUUAUGACUUUUUGAUUAAGAUAUUGCUGAUUUCUUAAUGUUUUGUUUUUUCAGAUUUCAGAAAACCUUUUUCUUUUUUCUUUUAAGGAACUAUGACUUACAGCAAAUUGUAAGCAAAAUUGAAACACUUAUCUUUUUCUCCCUAUCUGAUCCCUCCAAAACAUGCAAACUCCUGAUGGAGAAACACACAACUCAGCUAUGACAAGACAGCUUUUCAGGAAAAAGCUUGACUUUCUGGAAUAAAGCCGUGUGGAAAUAUUGGCCUGGUACUUUGUUUACAGGGAUUCCAGCAAUCUUACCAAGGAAACUGACAUCCAGAGAAUAUCAAGAAGCUGAAGUUUCCCAGAACCCAACUCCUCAGCUUCCUGGCACCAAAAUCCACAAUCCACCACAGAGGCAGACAACUAAGGACAUCCAUCUGCAGAUAUCCUUAUCUCAUUGUUCUCCUUCCUGCAAGUAGCCUCACAAGGCCAAAUGCAGGCUGGUGGAAAGACGCCAACCAACAAGCCCACAGGCUCUCCCCAUCCCUACAAGCAGCCUCAUUCCUUGCAACCUGUAAACCCCCUGGCUUCCCAUCUUUCAGGGAGACAAAAUGAAUUUGAGGGCUCACCCUUGUCUCCCUGCUGAUGUCACCCAAAAUAAAGACCCUUUCCUUGCCAUAAGCCUGGUGUUACAGUUUUUAUUUGGUCCCUCUAGUGUGGCAGGUAAAGAACCUACAUUUGUAGCCUGUAUCAGUAUUAUGUUUAGCACACAAAUAACCCAAC